Long non-coding RNA from Sebastes umbrosus (honeycomb rockfish), 576 nucleotides. RefSeq lists it as uncharacterized. NCBI's taxonomy places the organism in Eukaryota, Metazoa, Chordata, Actinopteri, Perciformes, Sebastidae. The record is from RefSeq and is a predicted model, not a curated record. The transcript is spliced from 3 exons.
UAGUCUGACAGCAGCCUUGUUCUGUCCUCGGCCUCCAAACCUUUGUGUUAAAGCUGUGAUCUACAGUUGGAUUAGUAGCCUUAGUGCCCUAGUUGGCUUCAUAACUGUGUGACUUGUUGUAGGUGAACUGCCCUCUUCACCCUACUGGACCCAGAACAAGGCCUACUGGUGGAAGACUCUGUCAUCAGGACAUCACAUCAGACUGAACUCUUUGACCCCGCUCACCUCUGAAAGGGACUAUGAAGUCAUUUCAGUGUUCAACACCAAGAAGCCCCGUCGUCUCCUGCUGGAAUCAUCAACAGUCAGGUGUGAUCCCCGAAGGCUGUCGGCGUUGUGACAGGCUAUACAGUGAAGUAAAAGUCUGCUGACCUCCUGGUCAGUGUAUGUGGCUACAUCUCUGCGGGCCUCACAAUCAAGAUCAAAUCACAGCCAAGGCUGCACACAGACAGAGAGGAGUGGGCUGUGUUUCUCCAAAGUCAGUUCAUUAUUACUCAUCUACUACACCAGAGGGACAGAUGUUCUGCCAUACUUUAUCCUAACCUUGUCUUUUCGGCCAUUAAAAACAGUUUGGGCAAA